RNAcentral lists this ribosomal RNA (638 nucleotides) under Bacillus paranthracis. RNAcentral's name for it is "bacterial SSU rRNA". It matches the Rfam family "Bacterial small subunit ribosomal RNA", at positions 56 to 675 of the family's 1533-position model. The record is from RNAcentral. Lineage: Bacteria; Bacillati; Bacillota; Bacilli; Caryophanales; Bacillaceae.
UGCAGUCGAGCGAAUGGAUUGAGAGCUUGCUCUCAAGAAGUUAGCGGCGGACGGGUGAGUAACACGUGGGUAACCUGCCCAUAAGACUGGGAUAACUCCGGGAAACCGGGGCUAAUACCGGAUAACAUUUUGAACCGCAUGGUUCGAAAUUGAAAGGCGGCUUCGGCUGUCACUUAUGGAUGGACCCGCGUCGCAUUAGCUAGUUGGUGAGGUAACGGCUCACCAAGGCAACGAUGCGUAGCCGACCUGAGAGGGUGAUCGGCCACACUGGGACUGAGACACGGCCCAGACUCCUACGGGAGGCAGCAGUAGGGAAUCUUCCGCAAUGGACGAAAGUCUGACGGAGCAACGCCGCGUGAGUGAUGAAGGCUUUCGGGUCGUAAAACUCUGUUGUUAGGGAAGAACAAGUGCUAGUUGAAUAAGCUGGCACCUUGACGGUACCUAACCAGAAAGCCACGGCUAACUACGUGCCAGCAGCCGCGGUAAUACGUAGGUGGCAAGCGUUAUCCGGAAUUAUUGGGCGUAAAGCGCGCGCAGGUGGUUUCUUAAGUCUGAUGUGAAAGCCCACGGCUCAACCGUGGAGGGUCAUUGGAAACUGGGAGACUUGAGUGCAGAAGAGGAAAGUGGAAUUCCAUGUG